RNAcentral lists this ribosomal RNA (301 nucleotides) under uncultured bacterium. RNAcentral describes it as "partial 16S ribosomal RNA". It matches the Rfam family "Bacterial small subunit ribosomal RNA", at positions 509 to 807 of the family's 1533-position model. The record is from RNAcentral.
CAGUAGCCGCGGUAAAACGGAGGGGGCUAGCGUUGUUCGGAAUUACUGGGCGUAAAGCGCACGUAGGCGGCUUGGUAAGUUAGAGGUGAAAGCCCGGAGCUCAACUCCGGAAUUGCCUUUAAGACUGCCGAGCUAGUAGGUGAGAGAGGUAAGUGGAAUUCCGAGUGUAGAGGUGGAAUUCGUAGAUAUUCGGAAGAACACCAGUGGCGAAGGCGGCUUACUGGCUCAUUCUAGACGCUGAGGUGCGAAAGCGUGGGGAGCAGACAGGAUUAGAUACCCGGGUAGUCCCUGUCUCUUAUAC